RNAcentral lists this ribosomal RNA (256 nucleotides) under uncultured prokaryote. Its description in RNAcentral is "partial 16S ribosomal RNA". It matches the Rfam family "Bacterial small subunit ribosomal RNA", at positions 522 to 777 of the family's 1533-position model. The record is from RNAcentral.
AAUACAGAGACUGCAAGCGUUAUUCGGAGUCACUGGGCGUAAAGGGUGCGCAGGCGGUUGGGUGUGUCAGAUGUGAAAUCCCGAGGCUCAACCUCGGAACUGCGUCUGAAACUACUCGACUAGAGUACUGGAGAGGGUAACGGAAUUCACGGUGUAGCAGUGAAAUGCGUAGAUAUCGUGAGGAACACCAGAGGCGAAGGCGGUUACCUGGACAGUUACUGACGCUCAGGCACGAAAGCAUGGGGAGCAAAAGGGA